Molecule: ribosomal RNA, 406 nt
Filed under: uncultured bacterium
Lineage: Bacteria
Description: bacterial SSU rRNA
Rfam family: Bacterial small subunit ribosomal RNA
Source: RNAcentral
GAUGAACGCUGGCGGCGUGCCUAACACAUGCAAGUCGAGCGGCAGCGCGUCCGACCACCCUCGGGUGGUCGGAUGGCGGCGAGCGGCGGACGGGUGAGGAAUGCAUCGGAAUCUGCCUCGUUGUGGGGGAUAACGUAGGGAAACUUACGCUAAUACCGCAUACGACCUACGGGUGAAAGUGGGGGACCUUCGGGCCUCACGCGAUGAGAUGAGCCGAUGCCGGAUUAGCUAGUUGGCGGGGUAAAGGCCCACCAAGGCGACGAUCCGUAGCUGGUCUGAGAGGAUGAUCAGCCACACUGGAACUGAGACACGGUCCAGACUCCUACGGGAGGCAGCAGUGGGGAAUAUUGGACAAUGGGGGCAACCCUGAUCCAGCCAUGCCGCGUGUGUGAAGAAGGCCUCGGUU